CCUACGGUAGGCAGCAGUUGGGAAUAUUUGGCCAUGGGCGCAAGCCUGACCCAGCACCUCCGCGUGAAGGAAGACGGCUUUCGGGUUGUAAACUUCUUUUGUCAGUGAAGAGUAGAAGACGGUACCUGACGAAUAAGCCACGGCUAACUACGUGCCAGCAGCCGCGGUAAUACGUAGGUGGCAAGCGUUGUCCGGAUUUACUGUGUGUAAAGGGCGUGUAGCCGGGUUGACAAGUCAGAUGUGAAAUCCUGCGGCUGAACCGCAGAACUGCCUUUGAAACUGUUGAUCUUGAGUACUGGAGAGACAGACGGAAUUCCUAGUGUAGCGGUGAAAUGCGUAGAUAUUAGGAGGAACACCAGUGGCGAAGGCGGUCUGCUGGACAGCAACUGACGGUGAGGCGCGAAAGCGUGGGGAGCAAACAGGAUUAGAUACCCUUGUAGUC
RNAcentral lists this ribosomal RNA (442 nucleotides) under uncultured bacterium. RNAcentral's name for it is "partial 16S ribosomal RNA". It matches the Rfam family "Bacterial small subunit ribosomal RNA", at positions 338 to 795 of the family's 1533-position model. The record is from RNAcentral.